GGCUCAGGAUGAACGCAGCGACAGGCCUAACACAUGCAAGCGAGGGGCAGCACAGGAGCAAUCUGAGGUGGCGACCGGCGCACGGGUGAGUAACACGUAUGCAACCUGCCUGUAAGCGGGGAAUAACCCGUUGAAAGACGGACUAAUACCGCAUAAUACUAAAUUACUGCAUGGUAAUUUAUUUUAAACAUUUUAUGGCUUACAGAUGGGCAUGCGCAUGAUUAGCUAGUUGGAGAGGUAACGGCUCCCCAAGGCAACGAUCAUUAGGGGUUCUGAGAGGAAGGUCCCCCCACACUGGUACUGAGACACGGACCAGACUCCUACGGGAGGCAGCAGUGAGGAAUAUUGGUCAAUGGACGAGAGUCUGAACCAGCCAAGUCGCGUGCAGGAAGAAUGUCCUAUGGAUUGUAAACUGCUUUUUGCAGGGGAAUAAAGUGCAUCACGUGUGAUGUUUUGUAUGUACUCUGCGAAUAAGGAUCGGCUAACUCCGUGCCAGCCGCCGC
Molecule: ribosomal RNA, 503 nt
Filed under: uncultured bacterium
Lineage: Bacteria
Description: bacterial SSU rRNA
Rfam family: Bacterial small subunit ribosomal RNA
Source: RNAcentral